Molecule: unclassified non-coding RNA, 508 nt
Filed under: Hevea brasiliensis (rubber tree)
Lineage: Eukaryota; Viridiplantae; Streptophyta; Magnoliopsida; Malpighiales; Euphorbiaceae
Source: RNAcentral
GGUGGACCCAGCAAUGAAGAGGCAGAAUUGCUUCCGUUGCUAUACGGGCCCCAACUUUGGAGGCGACGUUGCCGCCCCCUGUCAAGAUGCUUCGAUUGACACUCAGGCAUUGCCAUCCAAGCCAUGCAAGGGUGGUAUCCGUUCCAAUGUCCUUUUCCCAACUUGCUGGGAUGGAAAGAAUCUUGACAGCCCAGACCACAAAGCCCAUAUUGCAUAUCCUACUACUGGCCCAGCAAACUUCCUAAGCCUGGGAGGGAGUUGCCCAUCAACUCAUCCAGUGAGAAUUCCUCAGCUCAUGUACGAGGUUGUCUGGGAUACUACUGGAUUCAACGAUCAGAGUCAAUGGCCCACGGACGGCUCUCAGCCUUUCUACUUCAGUUAUGGAGAUAACACCGGAUAUGGUCAGCACGCUGAUUAUGUUUUCGGUUGGAAGGGUGACGCACUUCAGAAGGGUAUGGACGCCUCUGGAUGCAUGGGCGCUAAGUGUAAGGACAUGAAGAACCAGGUG